GGAGGCUGGCGGCGGGCGGAUCCCUCGCCAACCGGGUCAGGUCCGGAAGGAAGCAGCCCUAACGAGUUUCGGUUCGGGUCGUCUGUCCAGUCUCCCAC
RNAcentral lists this signal recognition particle RNA (98 nucleotides) under Flavobacteriaceae bacterium. RNAcentral's name for it is "signal recognition particle sRNA small type". It matches the Rfam family "Bacterial small signal recognition particle RNA". Rfam says of the family: The signal recognition particle (SRP) is a universally conserved ribonucleoprotein involved in the co-translational targeting of proteins to membranes. Archaeal SRP consists of a 7S RNA and homologues of the eukaryotic SRP19 and SRP54 proteins. In most bacteria, the SRP consists of a 4.5S RNA and the Ffh protein (a homologue of the eukaryotic SRP54 protein). RNAcentral also lists the same sequence under 1 other name. Lineage: Bacteria; Pseudomonadati; Bacteroidota; Flavobacteriia; Flavobacteriales; Flavobacteriaceae. The record is from RNAcentral.